RNAcentral lists this ribosomal RNA (260 nucleotides) under uncultured bacterium. RNAcentral's name for it is "partial 16S ribosomal RNA". It matches the Rfam family "Bacterial small subunit ribosomal RNA", at positions 95 to 354 of the family's 1533-position model. The record is from RNAcentral.
CGGGCGGACGGGUGGAGUAACGCGUGGACAACCUGCCCUAUGCAGGGGGAUAACAUCCGGAAACGGGUGCUAAUACCGCAUAAGCGCACAGUACCGCAUGGUACAGUGUGAAAAGCUGAGGCGGCAUAGGAUGGGUCCGCGUUGGAUUAGGCAGUUGGCGGGGUAACGGCCCACCAAACCGACGAUCCAUAGCCGGCCUGAGAGGGUGGACGGCCACAUUGGGACUGAGACACGGCCCAGACUCCUACGGAAGGCAGCAG